GGGACACGUCGCCGCCCCGCUCGUAGGAGCUGUGGCGGCUGUAGCUGGGGAGCGGCGGCGGCUGUAGGGGCUCAGGGAGCGCGGCAGCCGCCGAGAAUAGGGGCUGCUGCCACCUCCUGCCGGGCUGGGGGACUUGCGGCUCCUCAGGCUCUGAGAGGCCCUGUGGGACACCGGGCUGUCGUCCCGGCCUCCCAGCGGGCUGAGGGACCGCCGCCGCCUAUAGGCCUUGGGCUCGGUCUUGUCCUCUCGGUAGGCCUUGGGCGGUUCCUUAUAGGCCGAAGGCGGCUCCUUGGACGUUUUAGUCCGGCUGCGGUGGGCCUUCGAGUCCCGGUCCUUGCGGCUGCUACUGCUGCUGGACGUGGCCGAGGCGCUUUUCCGGCGGCCGCCGCUGCUGCUGCUGCCGCUCUUGGCGGCCUCGGCCCGCUCCUCGCCGCUGUGGCUGUGGCGGCUGCGGGACUUGGAGGCCUCGCUGCCACCGCGCUGUCCAUCUCGCCGCCGGUGCUCGCGGUGGCGCUCCUUGCUGCGGCCACUGCUGCUGCGGCGGUCCCGGCGGGGCCUGCGCUCCGACCCCUCCCCGCGCCGCUGGGUGCCGGAGGAGGAGGCCGGACUCCCGCCGCUGCCCCCCGUUCCCCCGGCAGCCGUCGCCGCCGUUGCCGCGCUGGCCCCCCCAGCAGCAGCCCCUGCUCGGACUGGGAGCUCACAUCCUCGUAUUCCACCAGCGGGGUCACACCCCCGCCGCUACUAGCACCGCCACCGCCGUCCUGCUGCGGCUGGGGCAGCGAGAAGACCCGACGCUUCUCCGCCUCCUGCCCGGCGCGGGGCCCGCGGCGCCGCUUCUGCUGCCCUCCUGCGCGCCUCUUGCCUCUCGCCAGCCGCUUGACCUCCAGAGGGGGGCCCGGGCUGAAGCAGAGGAGGAGGCCGCGGCGGCGGCGGCUGCGGCGGCGGCCGUGCCGGGAGCAGCCAGGAAGAGCAGAGGCGGCGGGGGCGGCGGCGGUUGCAGGAGCUGCGGCUGUAGGAGCGGCAACAGCAGCGGCGGCUGCUGAGGGGACAGGAAUCGCCUCCGCUUGCGGCGUUCCUCCAACUUCUUCUCCGCCCAACUCAGGCCCCCGCCUCCCCCCAGCGCCGUGUCCGAGCUGCUCGGCAUCGCCUAGAGCCAGCCGCAGAGCGCGGCGCGGGUGCGGCCUCCUCCCGGGUCAGAUCCUGGCCAUCUCCCCCGCCGGAAACGGGAGCGGCGGCGGAGGGACACCGAGCACCAGGACCGGCCGGGAGACGCGCCACGAUAAUCCGGGUCGGGACUCGGGUCCCAGGGUUCCAGGUCACAGUGGGGUACGCAGCGGCCUCCGGGCCUCAGAGAAGCAAGAAUCCGGGCGGCGGAGCUCCCGAUCGCGCUCGUCGUCCUAUACCUCGGCAGCGAAAACACCAGAUGCGCCGGGCGCUGACCUGCGGGGGAGUCCCGAGUCCUCCAAGUGCCCCCUGGGGGUGGGGGAGCGGCCUCGGCCGCGCUCUCGGCUCGGGCAGCGCAACGCGGAAGUACCACCUUCGUCGCCGCUUCACUCCAUCGCGCCCUGA
Long non-coding RNA from Macaca fascicularis (crab-eating macaque), 1569 nucleotides. NCBI's taxonomy places the organism in Eukaryota, Metazoa, Chordata, Mammalia, Primates, Cercopithecidae. The record is from Ensembl.